This 253-nucleotide ribosomal RNA is filed under the name uncultured bacterium. Its description in RNAcentral is "partial 16S ribosomal RNA". It matches the Rfam family "Bacterial small subunit ribosomal RNA", at positions 524 to 776 of the family's 1533-position model. The record is from RNAcentral.
UACGUAGGGUGCGAGCGUUGUCCGGAAUUACUGGGCGUAAAGAGCUCGUAGGUGGUUUGUCGCGUUGUCCGUGAAAACUCACAACUCAAUUGUGGGCGUGCGGGCGAUACGGGCAGACUGGAGUACUGCAGGGGAGACUGGAAUUCCUGGUGUAGCGGUGGAAUGCGCAGAUAUCAGGAGGAACACCGGUGGCGAAGGCGGGUCUCUGGGCAGUAACUGACGCUGAGGCACGAAAGCGUGGGGAGCGAACAGG